This 197-nucleotide ribosomal RNA is filed under the name uncultured bacterium. RNAcentral's name for it is "partial 16S ribosomal RNA". It matches the Rfam family "Bacterial small subunit ribosomal RNA", at positions 326 to 539 of the family's 1533-position model. The record is from RNAcentral.
ACGCUCCACACCUACGGGAGCAGCAGUGGGGAAUAUUGCACAAUGGGGGAAACCCUGAUGCAGCGACGCCGCGUGAGCGAAGAAGUAUUUCGGUAUGUAAAGCUCUAUCAGCAGGGAAGAAACUGACGGUACCUGACUAAGAAGCACCGGCUAAAUACGUGCCAGCAGCCGCGGUAAUCUGAGCGGGCUGGCAAGGC